This 519-nucleotide ribosomal RNA is filed under the name Caulobacteraceae bacterium. RNAcentral's name for it is "bacterial SSU rRNA". It matches the Rfam family "Bacterial small subunit ribosomal RNA", at positions 61 to 623 of the family's 1533-position model. The record is from RNAcentral. Lineage: Bacteria; Pseudomonadati; Pseudomonadota; Alphaproteobacteria; Caulobacterales; Caulobacteraceae.
AUCGAACGAACUCUUCGGAGUUAGUGGCGGACGGGUGAGUAACACGUGGGAACGUGCCUUUUGGUUCGGAAUAACUCAGGGAAACUUGUGCUAAUACCGAAUGUGCCCUUCGGGGGAAAGAUUUAUCGCCAUUAGAGCGGCCCGCGUCUGAUUAGCUAGUUGGUGAGGUAAAGGCUCACCAAGGCGACGAUCAGUAGCUGGUCUGAGAGGAUGAUCAGCCACAUUGGGACUGAGACACGGCCCAAACUCCUACGGGAGGCAGCAGUGGGGAAUCUUGCGCAAUGGGCGAAAGCCUGACGCAGCCAUGCCGCGUGAAUGAUGAAGGUCUUAGGAUUGUAAAAUUCUUUCACCGGGGACGAUAAUGACGGUACCCGGAGAAGAAGCCCCGGCUUACUUCCUGGCCACCGGCGCGGAAAGACGAAGGGGGCUGAGCGGUCCAGGGAAGUAAAUGGGGGUAAAGGCCGCGCAGGUGGAUUUUAAAUUCCCGCAUGCAAUCCCGGUGGUCGAGGUCCGCGUUGA